Molecule: ribosomal RNA, 468 nt
Filed under: uncultured bacterium
Lineage: Bacteria
Description: partial 16S ribosomal RNA
Rfam family: Bacterial small subunit ribosomal RNA
Source: RNAcentral
GACGAACGCUGGCGGCGUGCUUAACACAUGCAAGUCGAACGGAAAGGCCCUGCUUUUGUGGGGUGCUCGAGUGGCGAACGGGUGAGUAACACGUGAGUAACCUGCCCUUGACUUUGGGAUAACUUCAGGAAACUGGGGCUAAUACCGGAUAGGAGCUCCUGCUGCAUGGUGGGGGUUGGAUAGUUUCGGCGGUUGGGGAUGGACUCGCGGCUUAUCAGCUUGUUGGUGGGGUAGUGGCUUACCAAGGCUUUGACGGGUAGCCGGCCUGAGAGGGUGACCGGCCACAUUGGGACUGAGAUACGGCCCAGACUCCUACGUGAGGCAGCAGUGGGGAAUAUUGCACAAUGGGCGGAAGCCUGAUGCAGCAACGCCGCGUGCGGGAUGACGGCCUUCGGGUUGUAAACCGCUUUCGCCUGUGACGAAGCGUGAGUGACGGUAAUGGGUAAAGAAGCACCGGCUAACUACGUG